GACAGAGGCCACAAGCGUUAGGCGGAAUCACUGGGCUUAAAGCGCGUGUAGGUGGGCGUGCAAGUACCUUGUGAAAUCCCAUCGCUCAACGAUGGAACUGCUUGGUAUACUGCUCGUCUUGAGCCAUCUAGGGGCUACUGGAACAAACGGUGGAGCGGUGAAAUGCGUAGAUAUCGUUUGGAACGCCAAUGGUGAAAACAGGUAGCUGGGGAUGUGCUGACACUGAGACGCGAAAGCCAGGGGAGCAAACGGG
RNAcentral lists this ribosomal RNA (253 nucleotides) under uncultured bacterium. Its description in RNAcentral is "partial 16S ribosomal RNA". It matches the Rfam family "Bacterial small subunit ribosomal RNA", at positions 524 to 776 of the family's 1533-position model. The record is from RNAcentral.